GAUGAAGAACGCAGCGAAAUGCGAUAAGUAAUGUGAAUUGCAGAAUUCAGUGAAUCAUCGAAUCUUUGAACGCAUCUUGCGCUCCUUGGUAUUCCUUGGAGCAUGCCUGUUUGAGUAUCAUGAGCAAAUCUCAAAGUCAAUUCCUUUUGUUAAUUCAAUUGGUUUUGCUUUGGACUUGGAGGUCUUGCAGAUUUCACAGUCUGCUCCUCUUAAAUGCAUUAGCUGGAUCUCAGUAAUUAUGCUUGGUUCCACUCGGCGUGAUAAGUAUCACUCGCUGAGGACACUGUUAAAAAGGUGGCCAGGAAAAUACUGAUUGAACCGCUUCUAACGGUCUAUUAAGUUAGACAAUUACCCUUAAGUUUGAUCUCAAAUCAGGUAGGACUACCCGCUGAACUUAAGCAUAUCAAUAAGCGGAGGA
This 418-nucleotide unclassified non-coding RNA is filed under the name soil metagenome. RNAcentral's name for it is "partial contains 5.8S ribosomal RNA, internal transcribed spacer 2, and large subunit ribosomal RNA". The stretch from base 1 to 120 matches the Rfam family "5.8S ribosomal RNA", at positions 35 to 154 of the family's 154-position model. The record is from RNAcentral.